UGUGUGGUGGUGAAGAGCCAUCGCUGGUGCCCUCGGGCCGUGGCCCUGACCUGCUCGAGCUGCCGGCAGCUUGCCCACUGCAGCUCUUGCGUUAGCAGCACAAAGAUCAACAGAGUGGAGAAGGCAAACAAUGUCUUAAUCUUGCUACGAAAUAGUUUGGACCUUGUAGACGCUCAGAAAAACAAGAAAGUCUGUUUUAGUGACUACAGCCCAUGUCAGGACAUUGCAGCUUGUAUUUCUACAGAGCAAAGCUGCACACGAGGGGCCUUCAGCAAGGAUGUGGUCCCUAGCGAGACAACAUGGCCUCUGCAGAGCCGCUGCCCAGGCCUCAGGCGGCCUCGGGAGGUGCCCCUGCUGCAUCCCGAACCUCGAACUGUGGCCCUGGCCUUGGUCUACGCGUGCGGCCCUCUUGGAAACCUCAGCAGACCCUGGUGGAUCUACAGGACUUGCUCAGCAGGCAUGGCUGAGCAAGAAUUUAAACUCUAGGGCAAAACAAGUACUCGGAUUUGCAGCUGUUUUAGGACCAGGUGGGCAGAAAAUGUUUGUGCUUUUAAAAUACAAGGCGGUUGCAUCCACACGGACCAAAAGCGCUCUGGGGACGGAGUUUUAGAUCAUUGCCACUGCGGGACGUCCUGCUGCACGGUGCCUUCUGCAUCUUGACCUGGGUGCUGGUACCAUGAGUGUGUCCCUUCGUGAAAAUCUCUGAGCUGUGCCCUUGAUUUGUGCACUUUUCUGUAUGAAUGUCUUACUGCAAAAAAGUCUAUAUGGAAAAUGAUUAGUGCCAAGCCUAUGUAGAGAGCAUUAGUUUGUCUGCCCCAAAUCCAUUCUAUAUUUUAAUUGAAUGUCUUAUUGCUCAAACAACUGUUAAUCGGGUAUUCUGUUACAAGAAGCCAAAUAUAUCCUUGUGUUGUCCA
Equus caballus (horse) is the source of this 914-nucleotide non-coding RNA. The record is from RefSeq and is a predicted model, not a curated record. Lineage: Eukaryota; Metazoa; Chordata; Mammalia; Perissodactyla; Equidae.